AGUGGGGAAUAUUGCACAAUGAGGGAAACCUUGAUGCAGCCAUGCCGCGUGUGUGAAGAAGGCCCGAGGGUUGUAAAGCACUUUCAAUUGUGAGGAAGAUUAAGUAGCUAAUAUCUGCUUAAUUUGACGUUAACUUUAGAAGAAGCACCGGCUAACUCUGUGCCAGCAGCCGCGGUAAUACAGAGGGUGCAAGCGUUAUUCGGAAUUACUGGGCGUAAAGCGCGCGUAGGCGGACUGUUAAGUCGGUUGUGAAAGCCCUGGGCUCAACCUAGGAACUGCAUCCGAUACUGGCAAUCUAGAGUUUAAGAGAGGGAAGUGGAAUUCCGGGUGUAGCAGUGAAAUGCGUAGAUAUCUGGAGGAACAUCAGUGGCGAAGGCGACUUCCUGGCUUAAAACUGACGCUGAGGUGCGAAAGCUUGGGUAGCGAACGGGAUUAGAUACCCCGGUAGUCCAAGCCGUAAACGAUGUCAACUAGCUGUUGGUCUUAUUAAAAAGAUUAGUAGCGUAGCUAACGCGAUAAGUUGACCGCCUGGGGAGUACGGUCGCAAGAUUAAAACUCAAAGGAAUUGACGGGGGCCCGCACAAGCGGUGGAGCAUGUGGUUUAAUUCGAUGCAACGCGAAGAACCUUACCAUCCCUUGACAUCCUGCGAACUUUCUAGAGAUAGAUUGGUGCCUUCGGGAACGCAGUGACAGGUGCUGCAUGGCUGUCGUCAGCUCGUGUCGUGAGAUGUUGGGUUAAGUCCCGCAACGAGCGCAACCCUUAUCAUUAGUUGCUAACAUUUAGUUGAGAACUCUAAUGAGACUGCCGGUGAUAAACCGGAGGAAGGCGGGGACGACGUCAAGUCAUCAUGGCCCUUAUGGGAUGGGCUACACACGUGCUACAAUGGGGGGUACAAAGAGCAGCCAACUGGCGACAGUGCGCGAAUCUCAUAAAACCUCUCGUAGUCCGGAUCGGAGUCUGCAACUCGACUCCGUGAAGUCGGAAUCGCUAGUAAUCGUGAAUCAGAAUGUCACGGUGAAUACGU
Molecule: ribosomal RNA, 1025 nt
Filed under: uncultured bacterium
Lineage: Bacteria
Description: bacterial SSU rRNA
Rfam family: Bacterial small subunit ribosomal RNA
Source: RNAcentral